CUAGACUAGUGGCAGACUUAAGAUGGCGGCGUUUGCAUGGGAUGUAGUAGCCGCAUGCUUACCGGGAGUGGCAAGGCGGCUAAAGAAUAAAUCUACUAACGAAAGUCCAGAAACUCGUCAGAUUUUCAGUUGUGG
Unclassified non-coding RNA from Carlito syrichta (Philippine tarsier), 135 nucleotides. The record is from Ensembl. Lineage: Eukaryota; Metazoa; Chordata; Mammalia; Primates; Tarsiidae.